RNAcentral lists this ribosomal RNA (791 nucleotides) under uncultured bacterium. RNAcentral's name for it is "bacterial SSU rRNA". It matches the Rfam family "Bacterial small subunit ribosomal RNA", at positions 8 to 796 of the family's 1533-position model. The record is from RNAcentral.
AGAGUUUGAUCAUGGCUCAGAUUGAACGCUGGCGGCAUGCCUUACACAUGCAAGUCGAACGGCAGCACGGGGGCAACCCUGGUGGCGAGUGGCGAACGGGUGAGUAAUACAUCGGAACGUGUCCUGUAGUGGGGGAUAGCCCGGCGAAAGCCGGAUUAAUACCGCAUACGCUCUACGGAGGAAAGGGGGGGAUCUUAGGACCUCCCGCUACAGGGGCGGCCGAUGGCAGAUUAGCUAGUUGGUGGGGUAAAGGCCUACCAAGGCGACGAUCUGUAGCUGGUCUGAGAGGACGACCAGCCACACUGGGACUGAGACACGGCCCAGACUCCUACGGGAGGCAGCAGUGGGGAAUUUUGGACAAUGGGGGAAACCCUGAUCCAGCAAUGCCGUGUGUGUGAAGAAGGCCUUCGGGUUGUAAAGCACUUUUGUCCGGAAAGAAAUCCUCUUCGCUAAUACCGAGGGGGGAUGACGGUACCGGAAGAAUAAGCACCGGCUAACUACGUGCCAGCAGCCGCGGUAAUACGUAGGGUGCAAGCGUUAAUCGGAAUUACUGGGCGUAAAGCGUGCGCAGGCGGUUCGCUAAGACAGAUGUGAAAUCCCCGGGCUUAACCUGGGAACUGCAUUUGUGACUGGCGGGCUAGAGUAUGGCAGAGGGGGGUAGAAUUCCACGUAGCAGUGAAAUGCGUAGAGAUGUGGAGGAAUACCGAUGGCGAAGGCAGCCCCCUGGGCCAAUACUGACGCUCAUGCACGAAAGCGUGGGGAGCAAACAGGAUUAGAUACCCUAGUAGUCC